UAGGGAAUCUUCCACAAUGGACGCAAGUCUGAUGGAGCAACGCCGCGUGAGUGAAGAAGGUUUUCGGACCGUAAAGCUCUGUUGUUGGUGAAGAAGGAUAGAGGUAGUAACUGGCCUUUAUUUGACGGUAAUCAACCAGAAAGUCACGGCUAACUACGUGCCAGCAGCCGCGGUAAUACGUAGGUGGCAAGCGUUGUCCGGAUUUAUUGGGCGUAAGGCGAGCGCAGGCGGAAGAAUAAGUCUGAUGUGAAAGCCCUCGGCUUAACCGAGGAAUUGCAUCGGAAACUGUUUUUCUUGAGUGCAGAAGAGGAGAGUAGAACUCCAUGUGUAGCGGUGGAAUGCGUAGAUAUAUGGAAGAAUACCAGUGGCGAAGGCGGCUCUCUGGUCUGCAACUGACGCUGAGGCUCGAAAGCAUGGGUAGCGAACAGGAUUAGAUACCCUGGUAGUCCAUGCCAUAAACGAUGAGUGCUAAGUGUUGGGAGGCUUCCGCCUCUCAGUGCUGCAGCUAACGCAUUAAGCACUCCGCCUGGGGGAGUACGACCGCAAGGUUGAAAC
RNAcentral lists this ribosomal RNA (555 nucleotides) under uncultured bacterium. Its description in RNAcentral is "partial 16S ribosomal RNA". It matches the Rfam family "Bacterial small subunit ribosomal RNA", at positions 355 to 900 of the family's 1533-position model. The record is from RNAcentral.